Long non-coding RNA from Neoarius graeffei (lesser salmon catfish), 402 nucleotides. RefSeq lists it as uncharacterized. NCBI's taxonomy places the organism in Eukaryota, Metazoa, Chordata, Actinopteri, Siluriformes, Ariidae. The transcript has 3 exons. The record is from RefSeq and is a predicted model, not a curated record.
CAUCUGGUAGAACUUCGAUUAAUUUUGAUUUUCCUACUAAACAUAAAGUCAGACAGAGAUGGAUGGACUGUGGCCAUGAGAAUGUACUCAUUGCUCACUUGUGUGUGCAUGCAUGUGUUCGUUGCUUUAGAUGGGUGUGGCAGCGGGGGCGUGGUCAAGCGCCGGUCUGUGACAGGAGGGCAGAGUUGGGAAAGGUAUCUCACUCACUCACUCACUCACCCUGACACCUGUUGGCCAAUUAGUCUGUCAGCUGACAGCAUCUUAUGAGGCUAUCUACGUCUAUCUUGAGCCUGCUUCAUCCACCUUUGGUUUGUCAGGCCUGCUGUGGCUUCGCCAGACAAGCACCCAUUCACACUUAAAUCCAUCCAGAUCCAAACAUGGGAUCAUCAUUAUCCAAACCUG